GCGCAACCCUUGUCCUUAGUUUACCAGCACGUUAUGGUGGGCACUCUAAGGAGACUGCCGGUGACAACCGGAGGAAGGUGGGGAUGACGUCAAGUCAUCAUGGCCCUUACGGCCUGGGCUACACACGUGCUACAAUGGUCGGUACAAAGGGUUGCCAAGCCGCGAGGUGGAGCUAAUCCCAUAAAACCGAUCGUAGUCCGGAUCGCAGUCUGCAACUCGACUGCGUGAAGUCGGAAUCGCUAGUAAUCGUGAAUCAGAAUGUCACGGUGAAUACGUUCCCGGGCCUU
Molecule: ribosomal RNA, 287 nt
Filed under: uncultured Pseudomonas sp.
Lineage: Bacteria; Pseudomonadati; Pseudomonadota; Gammaproteobacteria; Pseudomonadales; Pseudomonadaceae
Description: partial 16S ribosomal RNA
Rfam family: Bacterial small subunit ribosomal RNA
Source: RNAcentral